This 75-nucleotide transfer RNA is filed under the name Chryseobacterium flavum. Its description in RNAcentral is "tRNA-Met". The stretch from base 10 to 72 matches the Rfam family "tRNA". Rfam says of the family: Transfer RNA (tRNA) molecules are approximately 80 nucleotides in length. Their secondary structure includes four short double-helical elements and three loops (D, anti-codon, and T loops). Further hydrogen bonds mediate the characteristic L-shaped molecular structure. tRNAs have two regions of fundamental functional importance: the anti-codon, which is responsible for specific mRNA codon recognition, and the 3' end, to which the tRNAs corresponding amino acid is attached (by aminoacyl-tRNA synthetases). tRNAs cope with the degeneracy of the genetic code in two manners: having more than one tRNA (with a specific anti-codon) for a particular amino acid; and 'wobble' base-pairing, i.e. permitting non-standard base-pairing at the 3rd anti-codon position. Lineage: Bacteria; Pseudomonadati; Bacteroidota; Flavobacteriia; Flavobacteriales; Weeksellaceae. The record is from RNAcentral.
CGGGGAUGGAGCCGGAGGUAGGUCGUCGGGCUCAUAACCCGAAGGUCAUCGGUUCGAGUCCGGUUCCCGCUACUA